Molecule: transfer RNA, 70 nt
Filed under: Marmota monax (woodchuck)
Lineage: Eukaryota; Metazoa; Chordata; Mammalia; Rodentia; Sciuridae
Description: tRNA.Val
Rfam family: tRNA (bases 6-66)
About the family: Transfer RNA (tRNA) molecules are approximately 80 nucleotides in length.
Source: RNAcentral
UGGGAUGUAGCUCAGUGGUAGAGUGCUUGCCUAACAUGCAAGAGGUCCUGGGUUCAAUCCCCAAUACUAG